This 253-nucleotide ribosomal RNA is filed under the name uncultured bacterium. RNAcentral describes it as "partial 16S ribosomal RNA". It matches the Rfam family "Bacterial small subunit ribosomal RNA", at positions 524 to 776 of the family's 1533-position model. The record is from RNAcentral.
UACAGAGGGGGCAAGCGUUGUUCGGAAUUACUGGGCGUAAAGGGCGCGUAGGCGGCCUGUUAAGUCGAACGUGAAAUCCCCGGGCUCAACCCGGGAACUGCGUCCGAUACUGGCAGGCUUGAAUUCGGGAGAGGGAUGUGGAAUUCCAGGUGUAGCGGUGAAAUGCGUAGAUAUCGCUUGGAACGCCAAUGGUGAAAACAGGUAGCUGGGGGUGUGCUGACACUGAGACACGAAAGCCAGGGGAGCAAACGGG